This 103-nucleotide small nuclear RNA is filed under the name Tupaia belangeri (northern tree shrew). Lineage: Eukaryota; Metazoa; Chordata; Mammalia; Scandentia; Tupaiidae. The record is from RNAcentral.
ACUAUGAGAGAAUGAAAACAAAGCAGUAAUUUAACAGACAAGAUUAGCAUGGUCCCUGCACACAGUGAUAGACAUGCAAAUUCGUGAAGCGUUCCAUAUUUUU